GGGAGUGACUUGGCUUCGACAGGAGCAGGUUUGGCUUGACGGCAUGCCGCUUUGAACAGAGCGCAAAAAGUUCAUUAAAUUUAGACGCAAAUAACAAAAAUUUCGCUCCCGCUUACGCUAAAGUCGCGUAAGUUUUAUCCUUAAAGGGAGGCUUUGCACCGUGGAUGCUAUCUAAACGGAUUUAGCAAGGCUCAAAAAUAGAUAGCUUGAUUUGACGCGCAGCUGCCGUUAAAUUGAAAUUUAAGCUUGCGCUUUUGUGUAGUUUUCGCGGAUUGAGUGAAGCAGAGGCAAAGAUAAAAUCAAUCCUUCUAAGCAUGUAGAAAUCAAGCAGGGUCUGUUUUUGGACAGGGGUUCAAUUCCCCUCACUUCCACCA
RNAcentral lists this transfer-messenger RNA (374 nucleotides) under Campylobacteraceae bacterium. It matches the Rfam family "transfer-messenger RNA". From Rfam's summary of the family: Bacterial tmRNA, also known as 10Sa RNA or SsrA, is named for its dual tRNA and mRNA-like properties. Its role is to liberate the mRNA from a stalled ribosome. To accomplish this part of the tmRNA is used as a reading frame that ends in a translation stop signal. The record is from RNAcentral. Lineage: Bacteria; Pseudomonadati; Campylobacterota; Epsilonproteobacteria; Campylobacterales; Campylobacteraceae.